UGCCAGCCGCCGCGGUAAUACGGAGGGUGCAAGCGUUAAUCGGAAUUACUGGGCGUAAAGCGCGCGUAGGCGGCUUGGUCAGUCGGAUGUGAAAGCCCCGGGCUUAACCUGGGAACUGCAUUCGAUACUGCCAAGCUAGAGUAUGGAAGAGGGAAGUGGAAUUCCGGGUGUAGCGGUGAAAUGCGUAGAUAUCCGGAGGAACACCAGUGGCGAAGGCGACUUCCUGGGCCAAUACUGACGCUGAGGUGCGAAAGCGUGGGGAGCAAACAGGAUUAGAUA
RNAcentral lists this ribosomal RNA (279 nucleotides) under uncultured bacterium. RNAcentral describes it as "partial 16S ribosomal RNA". It matches the Rfam family "Bacterial small subunit ribosomal RNA", at positions 506 to 784 of the family's 1533-position model. The record is from RNAcentral.